AGUUUUUUUUUUUGGUUUAUAGAUUUGAUUAUGGUCAUUGUAAUGAUAAAAUGGUGUUAUAUAAUUUUUAAUCACGUGAGUGGACAAUGUAUUUCUAUCCCGGCAAUGUAUUGCUUGUAUAAACUCAGUACCAGAAUAAUCGGAUAGACUGAGUAAGCUUAUACCCUAAAUGUGUUUUAAUCAUGGCUUUAUUUUUUGUUUUUACAACUGUUUAGUGCAAUGUGCAGUUUUUUUUAUUUUUUGUCUUGGUUAAUAAGAUUAGAUAAAUGACCUGGAUUAGUACCCAGUUAAUCUAAAUUUAAAAGUUGCAGGAGUAAAGUAAUAUUUAAACUGUAAUAAUAUUGGCGGAUUUUUUAGUUAUCUUUGGAGGUUGAGCUGUAAUUGAGAACCCUCAUUAUCAGCUUUGAUUUUUGUCGCAUGUAUGAUCGUUUAUGUCCUUCUUAAAGAGGUGCAUUAAAAAUUAUUUGGUGUUUAAUCAAUGAUAUUUAUUAAAACAGAUAAAUACCUGGUAUAUAUCAAAGUUUUCGUUUGGCCUACAAUAUCUUAUGUUUCGGAUAGGAUUUAGAGAUAUUUCCUUGAAGUUGUAAAAGACAGUAAAUACUUUUUAAUGUAGUAUUGAAGUACUUAGAGAAAUCGUACAAAUCAUCCAUCAAUUGCCCACAGGGGAGUAAGUUGUAGUAAAGUAGGUGUAGGGGAAUCUGUACCUAGUUUA
RNAcentral lists this non-coding RNA (712 nucleotides) under Strongyloides stercoralis. The record is from RNAcentral. Lineage: Eukaryota; Metazoa; Nematoda; Chromadorea; Rhabditida; Strongyloididae.